UUCCCUGUGUUGUCUUUAUCUCCCCCACUUCUAUAUUUUACACACACACCUGUGCCUCAUUAUAUGAAGACCCAGGACAAAUUCAUCAGAUGAAGUGACAAGUGAGCCAGAUUUGGGAUGAUCCAAGGAAGUUAUGGGUGGCGGAGGAGAUCCAGGAGAGGUUAAUGGAAGAUGUGGGACUGAAUUGAGUCUUGCUAGUCAAAGAUAAUUUGGCUGAAGAAGAGGAUGGCAUUCUGGCAAGAAUAAAGAUGAGGAGAAGGAAUGCGCACCACAUAAUUUAGAACAGAGUCCAGACUGACCUGAAUGGAAAGCAAGCUGCAGAUAGGAAGACUGUGUGCACAUAGAUAAUUGGACAAGAUCCUCAUUUUGCAGAUGAUGCCGUGAGAGUAUGAAGGAGCGGUAUUAAAUCCAGCAGGAAACCUCAGUAAAGGUGGUUUUAGAACAUAGUCUGGAAGAAUAGGAGUUGGCCAGGCAAAGAAGAGAGUGAAGGGUAUAUAAAGACGUCUCAGAUAAAUGGAACAGCAUGAACAAAGGCAUGGAAGCAUGAAACAACAUGGAUUAUUCUGGAAAUCACAAACAUGUGAGUAUUACUGGUUAUAAAAUGGAAGGAGAUGAGAGAUGGGAGAUGAGGCUGGCUGGGGAGAAGCCCUGUCAUGUGGCACUAUUCAUCAUGCCACUGUCAGGAAGCCAACAAAGCAGGGUAACCCAAGAUACAUGAUUAGAUUUGAA
This 729-nucleotide long non-coding RNA is filed under the name Pan troglodytes (chimpanzee). RNAcentral describes it as "long non-coding RNA NONPTRT010126". The record is from RNAcentral. Lineage: Eukaryota; Metazoa; Chordata; Mammalia; Primates; Hominidae.